This 1325-nucleotide ribosomal RNA is filed under the name Campylobacter coli. RNAcentral's name for it is "partial 23S ribosomal RNA". It matches the Rfam family "Bacterial large subunit ribosomal RNA", at positions 1 to 1308 of the family's 2925-position model. Lineage: Bacteria; Pseudomonadati; Campylobacterota; Epsilonproteobacteria; Campylobacterales; Campylobacteraceae. The record is from RNAcentral.
AGGUAAGCUACUAAGAGCGAAUGGUGGAUGCCUUGACUGGUAAAGGCGAUGAAGGACGUACUAGACUGCGAUAAGCUACGGGGAGCUGUCAAGAAGCUUUGAUCCGUAGAUUUCCGAAUGGGGCAACCCAAUGUAUAGAGAUAUACAUUACCUAUAUAGGAGCGAACGAGGGGAAUUGAAACAUCUUAGUACCCUCAGGAAAAGAAAUCAAUAGAGAUUGCGUCAGUAGCGGCGAGCGAAAGCGCAAGAGGGCAAACCCAGUGCUUGCACUGGGGGUUGUAGGACUGCAAUGUGCAAGAGGUGAGUUUAGCAGAACAUUCUGGAAAGUAUAGCCAUAGAGGGUGAUAGUCCCGUAUGCGAAAAACAAACCUUAGCUAGCAGUAUCCUGAGUAGGGCGGGACACGAGAAAUCCUGUCUGAAGCUGGGUCGACCACGAUCCAACCCUAAAUACUAAUACCAGAUCGAUAGUGCACAAGUACCGUGAGGGAAAGGUGAAAAGAACUGAGGUGAUCAGAGUGAAAUAGAACCUGAAACCAUUUGCUUACAAUCAUUCAGAGCCCUAUGUAGCAAUACAGGGUGAUGGACUGCCUUUUGCAUAAUGAGCCUGCGAGUUGUGGUGUCUGGCAAGGUUAAGCAAACGCGAAGCCGUAGCGAAAGCGAGUCUGAAUAGGGCGCUUAGUCAGAUGCUGCAGACCCGAAACGAAGUGAUCUAUCCAUGAGCAAGUUGAAGCUAGUGUAAGAACUAGUGGAGGACUGAACCCAUAGGCGUUGAAAAGCCCCGGGAUGACUUGUGGAUAGGGGUGAAAGGCCAAUCAAACUUCGUGAUAGCUGGUUCUCUCCGAAAUAUAUUUAGGUAUAGCGUUGUGUCGUAAUAUAAGGGGGUAGAGCACUGAAUGGGCUAGGGCAUACACCAAUGUACCAAACCCUAUCAAACUCCGAAUACCUUAUAUGUAAUCACAGCAGUCAGGCGGCGAGUGAUAAAAUCCGUCGUCAAGAGGGAAACAACCCAGACUACCAGCUAAGGUCCCUAAAUCUUACUUAAGUGGAAAACGAUGUGAAGUUACUUAAACAACCAGGAGGUUGGCUUAGAAGCAGCCAUCCUUUAAAGAAAGCGUAAUAGCUCACUGGUCUAGUGAUUUUGCGCGGAAAAUAUAACGGGGCUAAAGUAAGUACCGAAGCUGUAGACUUGCGCACAACUUAGAUUAUUUAAGUUUAGAAUAUGAGAAACUAAGUUAUAUGUUUAGUUAUAUUUUUACUGAUUUUUAUAGAGUAAAGAUAGAAAUAAAACUUAGUAAAAUCAGUAAAAAUAUUCUUAGACUAAAGUU